GGAGAGGAGAUUGGAAUUCUCAGUGUAGCAGUGAAAUGCGUAGAUAUUGAGAGGAACACCAGUUGCGAAGGCGGAUCUCUGGACGAUUCCUGACGCUGAGGCACGAAAGCUGGGGGAGCGAAGAGGAUUAGAUACCCUCGUAGUCCCAGCCGUAAACGGUGCGCACUUGCUGUGGGCGGAUUCGACCCCGUCCGUGGCGAAGCUAACGCGUUAAGUGCGCCGCCUGGGGAGUACGGUCGCAAGAUUAAAACUCAAAGAAAUUGACGGGGGCCUGCACAAGCGGUGGAGUAUGUGGCUUAAUUCGAUGCAACGCGAAGAACCUUACCUGGCCUUGACAUGUAGUGGACCGGGUGCGAAAUCACCCUUUUCUUCGGAACUGCUACACAGGUGCUGCAUGGCUGUCGUCAGCUCGUGUCGUGAGAUGUUGGGCUAAGUCCCGCAACGAGCGCAACCCCCGUGUUCUGUUGCCACCCGGAUGAGAAUCCGGAGCACUCUGGACAGACUGCCUGGUUUCAACCAGGAGGAAGGUGGGGAUGACGUCAAGUCAGUAUGGCCCUUACGGCCAGGGCUGCACACGUACUACAAUGCCCGGUACAAUGGGAAGCGAGACCGCGAGGUGGAGCAAAUCCUAAAAACCGGGCCCAGUUCAGAUUGUAGGCUGCAACUCGCCUACAUGAAGGAGGAAUCGCUAGUAAUGCCGUAUCAGCUACGACGGCGUGAAUACGUUCCCAGGCCUUGUACACACCGCCCGUCACAUCAUGAAAGUCGAUUGUACCCGAAGUCGCCGAGUUAACCGCAAGGAGACAAGCGCCGAAGGUAUGGUUGGUAAUUGGGAUGAAGUCGUAACAAGGUAACC
This 856-nucleotide ribosomal RNA is filed under the name uncultured marine microorganism. RNAcentral describes it as "bacterial SSU rRNA". It matches the Rfam family "Bacterial small subunit ribosomal RNA", at positions 651 to 1501 of the family's 1533-position model. The record is from RNAcentral.